Molecule: long non-coding RNA, 338 nt
Filed under: Papio anubis (olive baboon)
Lineage: Eukaryota; Metazoa; Chordata; Mammalia; Primates; Cercopithecidae
Description: lncRNA (ENSPANG00000039603.1)
Source: RNAcentral
AGACAGGAAUGUGUUGUUGUUAUUGGAGACAAGGCAGAGAUAUUGUUGUUGUUGUGUGGGAGACGAGCAGGAGUGUUGUUCUUUGUUGUUAUUGCAGAGCAGGAGUAUUGUUAUUGUGGGGCAGAGCAGGGUAUUAUUGUUGUUAUUGGAGACAGGCAGGAGUAUUGUUGUUGUUGUUAUUGGAGACAGGCAGGAGUAUUGUUGUUGUUGGAGACAGGCAGGAGUAUUGUUGUUGUUGUUGGAGGCAGAGUGUGCUGCUGUUUGUGGAACCAGGGCAGGACUACUGUUGUUGUGGAGACAGGAGUAUUGUUGUUUGUUGUUGGAGACCAGCUAGGAAA